GGAGGGAUGACUGAGCGGACGAAAGUACUGGUCUUGAAAACCAGCGAGGCGCAAGCUUCCGUGGGUUCAAAUCCCACUCCCUCCGCCA
Molecule: transfer RNA, 88 nt
Filed under: Acidobacteriota bacterium
Lineage: Bacteria; Pseudomonadati; Acidobacteriota
Also listed under: 2 other names
Description: Acidobacteria bacterium tRNA-Ser
Rfam family: tRNA
About the family: Transfer RNA (tRNA) molecules are approximately 80 nucleotides in length.
Source: RNAcentral